UUGGAAAGAAAAAAUCGUAACAAGGUUUCCGUAGGUGAACCUGCGGAAGGAUCAUUACCGAGUGAGGGCCCUCUGGGUCCAACCUCCCACCCGUGUUUAUUUUACCUUGUUGCUUCGGCGGGCCCGCCUUAACUGGCCGCCGGGGGGCUUACGCCCCCGGGCCCGCGCCCGCCGAAGACACCCUCGAACUCUGUCUGAAGAUUGUAGUCUGAGUGAAAAUAUAAAUUAUUUAAAACUUUCAACAACGGAUCUCUUGGUUCCGGCAUCGAUGAAGAACGCAGCGAAAUGCGAUACGUAAUGUGAAUUGCAAAUUCAGUGAAUCAUCGAGUCUUUGAACGCACAUUGCGCCCCCUGGUAUUCCGGGGGGCAUGCCUGUCCGAGCGUCAUUUCUGCCCUCAAGCACGGCUUGUGUGUUGGGCCCCGUCCUCCGAUCCCGGGGGACGGGCCCGAAAGGCAGCGGCGGCACCGCGUCCGGUCCUCGAGCGUAUGGGGCUUUGUCACCCGCUCUGUAGGCCCGGCCGGCGCUUGCCGAUCAACCCAAAUUUUUAUCCAGGUUGACCUCGGAUCAGGUAGGGAUACCCGCUGAACUUAAGCAUAUCAAUAAGCGGAGGACAAGAAUCAACAGGGACGCCGAGUUAAGGUCAAUGCGACUGUUAGAGCGCAAAUUUGAUGCUGGUCCUACGCGAUCGGCAUUGGGAUUCUCAGGAUGCUUCAUGAACGGCCCUGAUUCUUGCCAUGGACUGAAUAUCAUAGAAGCUGAUGGCCCCUAUGGAAGGGAUGUCGCCCGAAUGUGACGAACUUCAAGAACCAGGUGUAGGUCAUACACUCCAGAUGGGGGAAGAUCGUCAAAUCGGUUAGGGCGAAGACUGAUCGCACCACUGGAGGAGUUCAGUGAAACCCUUCAGAAACCUUAAAAGCCGUGAAUUGUGAUAGGAACGUUGCGACAGAUCGCCGCGGGUCACCGGAUCGGCCAUGUAUUCCCCGGGAGGCACCUUGUUGGCGGCUUCAAGCCUCCAGGUAGCCCAGGGCUCUAUACCAGGUCAUGCACAACUAACGAGAGAGUCCCUCAACCUGGUAUGUCUAACACCUCUGACCCGCAUGGUUACAUACCAGGUCGUGCUACCUCGGAUGAAGAACAGUGGACUCAGUGCCAUUCCUCCAACUCCAGAUAAAAAGGAUUUGGCCGAAGGGAUUCCCAGGGACAGGACCUGGACGUAAUUCAGGGAUUGCAAUGGUUGAAAUCA
RNAcentral lists this small RNA (1244 nucleotides) under Penicillium rubens. Its description in RNAcentral is "eukaryotic LSU rRNA". The stretch from base 234 to 386 matches the Rfam family "5.8S ribosomal RNA". The record is from RNAcentral. Lineage: Eukaryota; Fungi; Ascomycota; Eurotiomycetes; Eurotiales; Aspergillaceae.